CCCCUCAACCUAAUGUAAAUACAUACUUAUGUUGGCCAACCACAAUUUGCACUUCCUUCUCUAUUCUGGUGUCACUCUAACCCUAAAAUUUUUAGCUCCUCUACUCCUUUCUCUCUACCACUGCAUCUCACCUUUCCCCAUGUGCUCUCAUCUUUUAUUUUUCCUUUCUUUUCUCCCUAAGUGUCGCCGCUUGCCCCCACCAUCAUAGGGUCGUCGUCCUCUUUUCUUUCCCAUUCCCAUCGUCGCACAUUGCACCACCAUUAAGCGAUUGUUUUCUUUUCUUUUCUUCCUAAAAUUGCCUACUUUACACUGUCGAUCUCUUCUUAUUUCUUUUUAUCAUUGCCACAACUACCACAUUGGUAGACUGUUGUGUUUCUUCCUUCUUCUUUUUUUCUUGUUUUUGCUUACCACACCUUUGAACCAUCAAACUUCUUGAUUAUUACCUUGUUGCUGCUGCCUCUACUAAUAUUCGGGCUGCCGAUUUUCCUUCCCUCAUUGUAGGAUUCCUUAUUCACUCGAUACACUAUUCAUGAUUAGAUCCAUAGUCUUUAGCAACAAAUCGGUAAGUUAUACAUUUGUAUUGGUUAGACAUUAAUUCCUAGAAAUUUAAUUGAAUUGUUGUUCUUUCUUCUUUUCAGUUUAAUCGAUUACAUUUAGAUCUAACCAAAACUUUGUCAAUUGGUUCUAACAUUAAGUGGUUUUGUGUGAACGAUGUUAAAGGGCCAAAUCUGGGAGAGGCAGAUCAGAUUUGAACUUGAGGAGUGUCGAACAAACUAGUAGCGAAGGUGUGUGUUUUGACUAAUGUUGUCGUGUGUGUGUGUCAACAUUCGGCCGAAUGUAUACGUGCUUCCCUUGUGAUUUUUGGUUGUUAAUGUCAUAUCUUGAUGAUGAUUAAAUGUUUCUAAUGGCUUCGAUUUUUCUAAGUAACCCUAGAUCUGAUCUAAAAAUAAACUUUGAUCUGGUAUUGAAAAAUCAUCGAUUCAAUUCAGUGGGUAAUGAAACUGUGUACGGAAGAUCUAAUUUUUGUAUGCUACCAUUUUUCUGAAUUGUUAUGUUGAUCAUGUAUGUGAUGUCAAAUUUGUGUUUAAUCUACCAUUGCUACUGAUGCAUGUUUACUGCUACUGUUAAAAUUACAAAUCAUUACUGAAUGCAUGAAAGUUGUAUGUCAAUACUGCUAUUGUUACUAUUUUUUGAUUUGUAAAAACAUGUCAUAAUAUUGCAUUGGGAUUGGGAUAUUGAAGGUGGAAAUACAGGCUCUAAAUGCCGGAUUGUUUCGCCGAUCAAAACUAUUAUUAUACUAGCAGUUCAUCCAAAAAAUAUUAUUUUGGCGUGUAGGGAUGGAUGAGUUAUGGGGGAACUCUUACUGUGAAGUGUGGCCGAUGCUUGGGUAUAGAGGUGCUCAUGGGCCGGGCCGGGCCCAGAAAAAUUUUGGCCCGGGUCCUAGGCUCGGGCCCGGCCCGAAAUAUGGGCUUAGAAUUUUGCCCAGGCCCGGCCCGGGAAAAAAUUCAUAAGCCCAGGCCCGGCCCGGCCCGUUUUUUAAAUAAAUACCAAAAAUUUAUUUUAAAAAUUAAAACAAAAAUUAAAAAAAUAUUUUAAAAUUAAAAAAAUUAAAAAGUAUUUUUAAAAAAAUUAAAAUUUUAAAAAAGUAUUUAAAAAAAGUAUUUUAAAAGUAUUUCAAAAGCAUUUUAAAAUUAAAAAAUUUAAAAAAUAAAAAUAUUUAUUAUAUUCGGGCCGGGCCCGGGCCAAAAAAGUGGUGCCUGAGGCCCGGCCUGUUUUUUAAUCGGGCCUCAUUUUUUUGCCCAAGCCCAUAUUUCGGGCCUAUAUUUUUACCCAAACCCUCCCAUAUUUCGGGCGGGCCGUCGGGCCGGGCGGCACCUCUAGUUGGGUAGGAAAUUAUAUUGUUAUCCAUGCAUAUUGUAUUUUUACUGAAAAUUACCAUGAGAUUAGUAUUCUGACAUGAUCUAUUUUCUAUGUGCUUGUAAGCAAUAAUUUAUGCUUAUGUGUUUAUUUGUUCCUAUGUUAAGACCACACUAAGCUUCAUAGCUCACUCUUUAGUUUUUCCCAACUUUUUAGAUAACUUGUGAGGUUAGGACUCGGACUCGGUAUUCGGAGCACUGUCAUCAUUUUUCCCUUAAAAACAUAUUUCUAAAUUGUUUUAUCAGUUCUUUUGGGUUUUGCACUGUUUUAAACGGGCUAUGGCAUAGACUUUAUUAAUUAUUUGGGUGUUUAAUUUGGGGAUUUGGCAUUAUAUGUUUUUGAUGAUAUACUUAAACAUGAAUAAGGUUUUCAAGAUUUUAUUUUAAAUUAUUUUAAAAUGGUGCAAAUAUGAUUUUUCCUAUCAACUUUGGAACUAAAAUCAAAACGAAUGAGAUAAAUAAAAUAAGCCAAUGUUUUCUUAAGAUAGAUUCGAUUUUAAAAGUGGUUUUGAGACUAAAAACAACACUGUUUUUCUAAAAGUGUUUCUCAUCAGUUUUAUAAAGUAGUGGAUUUAAAAUAUAUAUAUUUGUUUACCAAAAUUUUACCAUAAUGAUUUCACAAUUUAAAAGAGUACCCAAAUCGUAUUGAUACCUCAACAAGUAUCGAUAUCUUUUUAACAAAAUAAAGAUAAUUUGUAAGUAAACUUGAGAUUUUUCUACAACAAUCCAUUUAAAUGAACCUGAAUGUUUUUCUGGGUCAUCUCGGUGGCUAAUGUGACUUUCAUGAUUUGGCCGUAACGCCUGGGCCGGGUUGGGGAGGUUACAACAAUUCUCCCCUCCUUAAGAAAUUUCAUCCCCGAAAUUUACAUGAGAAAAUGUUUGAGUACUGAAAUUUUAUUUCCGAAUCAAAUUAAUUCAUUUGUUAUCAUUCCUUAUCAAUCCUUAGACUCGUUUAGCUGUAUCACAUGGUCUUUCACAUGCUAUCGACAUUUAUAUAUCGCAAUUUGUAUUCGAGUCAUCAGAUUCCUAUAUCAGUCCAAUUCAUAUUCCCUUUAACCCAUUCAUAUGUUGUAACUUGAUUAACCUGGUUUAUACUCAACUAAAUGCAUAGAUUAAUCUACUUGUAUCCAGAUCUAGAACCGAAACAAUAAUAUUGGCACAUGAGUGCAUCAUCUAACGAACCGACGUACAUAUACGGGUACAUAAGUGCAUCAUCGGGUAAACUGAAGCAACUAUAUUAGCACACGCAGUACAUCAUCGGAUAAACCAAAGCAACUAUAUUUUAACCCAACACGAAGCGCGAUCGAGAACUAAACUAGAAUGAAAAAAAAAAAGUGACAAAAAAUCCAAAUAAAUAUCUAAAAAUCAAAUCAUCUAACGAAAUAAAAUGGAAAUGGAAGCAAAUGAAAGAAUUUAAUGGCUUAGCUUGGGAAAUCGAGAUUCUAUCUAAAUUCCCUUAAUUUAAAAUAAGAAUGUGAAAAGUAACCUAAAGUGUGAUUAGUUUUAAGAGAGGGGGUGAAGGUGAUAUUGUCUGGGUGGAGGGAAGAUUUUGGUCCCGC
Molecule: long non-coding RNA, 3475 nt
Filed under: Gossypium barbadense (sea-island cotton)
Lineage: Eukaryota; Viridiplantae; Streptophyta; Magnoliopsida; Malvales; Malvaceae
Description: long non-coding RNA (GBAR_LNC015253)
Source: RNAcentral